This 468-nucleotide ribosomal RNA is filed under the name uncultured bacterium. Its description in RNAcentral is "partial 16S ribosomal RNA". It matches the Rfam family "Bacterial small subunit ribosomal RNA", at positions 28 to 507 of the family's 1533-position model. The record is from RNAcentral.
GACGAACGCUGGCGGCGUGCUUAACACAUGCCAGUCGAACGGAAAGGCCCUGCUUUUGUGGGGUGCUCGAGUGGCGAACGGGUGAGUAACACGUGAGUAACCUGCCCUUGACUUUGGGAUAACUUCAGGAAACUGGGGCUAAUACCGGAUAGGAGCUCCUGCUGCAUGGUGGGGGUUGGAAAGUUUCGGCGGUUGGGGAUGGACUCGCGGCUUAUCAGCUUGUUGGUGGGGUAGUGGCUUACCAAGGCUUUGACGGGUAGCCGGCCUGAGAGGGUGACCGGCCACAUUGGGACUGAGAUACGGCCCAGACUCCUACGGGAGGCAGCAGUGGGGAAUAUUGCACAAUGGGCAGAAGCCUGAUGCAGCAACGCCGCGUGCGGGAUGACGGCCUUCGGGUUGUAAACCGCUUUCGCCUGUGACGAAGCGUGAGUGACGGUAAUGGGUAAAGAAGCACCGGCUAACUACGUG